GAUGAACGCUGGCGGCGUGCCUAAUACAUGCAAGUCGAGCGAACGGACGAGAAGCUUGCUUCUCUGAUGUUAGCGGCGGACGGGUGAGUAACACGUGGAUAACCUACCUAUAAGACUGGGAUAACUUCGGGAAACCGGAGCUAAUACCGGAUGAUAUUUUGAACCGCAGGGGUCAAAAGUGAAAGACGGUCUUGCUGUCACUUAUAGAUGGAUCCGCGCUGCAGUAGCUAGUUGGUAAGGUAACGGCUUACCAAGGCAACGAUGGAUAGCCGACGUGACAGCGGGACGGCCCACUCUGGAGCUGGGCCCCGGUCCAGACUCCUACGGGAGGCAGCGGUAGGGAAGCGUCGGAACAGUGCGAAAUCCUGCCGGAGCAGCGCCACGUGGAUGAUGAGGGUCUGCGUGUCGUAAAACUCUGUUAUUGGUGAAGAACAUAUUUGUAAGGAACGGUGCGCUUCUUGACGGUACCUGAUCAGAAAGCCCCGGCUAACUACGUG
This 497-nucleotide ribosomal RNA is filed under the name uncultured bacterium. RNAcentral describes it as "partial 16S ribosomal RNA". It matches the Rfam family "Bacterial small subunit ribosomal RNA", at positions 28 to 507 of the family's 1533-position model. The record is from RNAcentral.